Long non-coding RNA from Cryptomeria japonica (Japanese cedar), 508 nucleotides. RefSeq lists it as uncharacterized. NCBI's taxonomy places the organism in Eukaryota, Viridiplantae, Streptophyta, Pinopsida, Cupressales, Cupressaceae. The record is from RefSeq and is a predicted model, not a curated record. The transcript is spliced from 3 exons.
ACGGCAUAUAACAUUUAUCAAACACCAUCCUCUCUCUAUUUCCUCCAGACGGAGAUGACCAAGCUCUCAAUCUUCACUGUUUUACUAAUUUUGCUGUUAAUAUUUCAAUCAGACUGUCGUCUCCUUGACUCUGACAAUAUAUAUGAGGGGAAGAUGGGUGUAAAAGAGAAGAUGAAAAAGAGAACCGACGAAAAAGCAGGAGCUUUCUAUAGAAGGAAAGAGCUUCUAUGGAUACAUUCUCCAAACAAACAUUGCUAUGUCGGCCCAUGUUAAUUUAAAAACAAUAAAACUAACAAUAUGUAAUAGUUACGCUCAAUAAGGUUAGUAUUAUGUCUAUCUGUAAUAUGUAAUAGUUCAACAUUUAUGUAAGGCGAGGAAUAGCAAUAAUCAAUUGCCAAAUUUCUAGUCGUAUGAUUCCUCUGGUUCAUUUUGAUGAUGUGAUUAUAUAAGUAUCGCAUGAAUAUCGGAUGUCAUUUUAACUUCAAUCUGUAUCAGAAUUGCUGGAAUA